UACGAAGGGGGCUAGCGUUGCUCGGAAUCACUGGGCGUAAAGGGUGCGUAGGCGGGGCUUUAAGUCAGGGGUGAAAUCCUGGAGCUCAACUCCAGAACUGCCUUUGAUACUGAAGAUCUUGAGUUCGGGAGAGGUGAGUGGAACUGCGAGUGUAGAGGUGAAAUUCGUAGAUAUUCGCAAGAACACCAGUGGCGAAGGCGAGUCUCUGGACGACUCCUGACACUGAGGCACGAAAGCUAGGGGAGCAAACAGG
Molecule: ribosomal RNA, 253 nt
Filed under: uncultured bacterium
Lineage: Bacteria
Description: partial 16S ribosomal RNA
Rfam family: Bacterial small subunit ribosomal RNA
Source: RNAcentral